AUGGCGGAUGCCUUGGUAGUUUGGGCCGAAGAAGGACGCGUAUUUGAGCGCGAAAACAACGAUCAGUCCUCCAAUAGACAUUAUCAGUCGUUGGUUUCCGAAUAGGGCAACCUGUCCCGAUGUAAGUCGGGAUGACCCGGCAUUUAUGCCGGGUAGGGAACCCGGGGAACUGAAACAUCUAAGUACCCGGAGGAAAAGAAAUCAUAUGAGAUUCCGUUAGUAGCGGCGAGCGAAAGCGGAAGAGUCUAAAUCCGUCCGCAAGGACGAGAUGUUGUGGGUCCACAGUAGGAACUGUUUUUGAUAGAAGAACGUUCUGGAAAGUACGACCAGAGAAGGUGAAAGUCCUGUACUCUAAAUUGAAAACUGUUCCGGUGGAAUUCCCAAGUACCACGAGGCACGGCAAACCUUGUGGGAAACUGGGUCGGUCACGAUCCAAGACUAAAUACCCAAACUGACCGAUAGUGAACUAGUACUGCGAAGGAAAGGUUAAAAGUCCCCCGGUAAGGGGAGUGAAAUAGAACCUGAAACCAUUGGCUGUCAAACAGACAGAGUCCCGCCUUUGGCGGGAUAAUGUCGUGCCUAUUGAAGAAUGAGCCAGCGAGUAUCCGAUUCAACUGUGUGUUUAAUCCCGCUAAGCGGGAGGAGGCAAAGGGAAACCGAGUCCUAACAGGGCGUUUACAGUUAUCGGAUGGCCCGAAACCAGAUGAGCUAACCAUGAGCAGGGUGAACUUCGCCGAAAGGCGAGGGAAGGCCCGAACCCGUUGUCGGUGAAAUGGCAUGGGAGGACUUGUGGUUAGGGGUAAUAUGCCUAUCGAAUCUGGAGAUAGCUGGUUCUCCCCGAGAUAUAUUUAGGUAUAGCCUUCUCAACUAGUCUGUGGGGUAGAGCGACUGGAUAGUCCCGAGAGCCUUUGGCGAUCGGGAUUAACCAAACUCCUAAUACGCAGAUGUUAUUGAGAGGAGUCAGUCACACCGGGAUAAGCCGGCGGUGGCGAAAGGAAAACAUUCCAGACUCCCGUCUAAGGUUUCUAAAUAGCUCUUAAGUGGUAAAGGCCGUUUGUUUUCCAACACAGCAGGGAAGUUAGCUCAGAAGCAGCUACCUUUUAAAGAGUGCGUAACAGCUCACCUGAAUACCUCGCCUUUAAGGCGGGGUGGAAGACAGGCGCCAAAAAUGAUAGAAGCUAAAGAGCUUACCGAAGACGGAGCCCCGCCUAUGGCGGGGGGUAGGGGAGCUUUCUUAUCUGCAACGAAGCCUAAGCCGUAAGGCAUGGUGGAGCGAUAAGAAGUGAGAAUGCUGGCAUGAGUAGUGUUAUCUCCCGAUGAAAACUCGGGAUGCCGUAUACCCAAGGUUUCCUCAGCAACGUCAAUCGUCUGAGGGUUAGUCGGUACUAAGCGUUGCAUCUAUUUGGUGCAAGGCGAUGUCCAAGCCGUUAAUAUUCGGCUACCUUUGGUAAAGCGUUAUUAUUUAUUUGGUGACGAGGUUUGAUAAUCCCGCCCUCUACGGGGGGCCAAGUUAUAAAUCUUUAUGCAAGUAAAGGCGAGUAACAAAUGCAAUUCUGCCUUCGGGCGGAAAAGCGGGACGACUUAAGCCUCCGGGAAAAGCCGAAUAAAGAGUUUUAUCAAAGACCGUACCACAAACCGACACAGGUGGGUUGGUGGAGUACACCAAGGCAGACGAGUAAGGGUGGUUCAAGGAACUCGGCAAAAAAACUGAGCGUAAGCUAUGCAAUAUGCUCUGUCCCGCCUAGCGGGACUGCAACUAAAGUUUAUCAACCGACUGUUUAGCAAAAACUCAGGUCCCUGCUAACCCCAAAAGGGGAUGUAUAGGGGCUGAGGCCUGUCCGGUGCUGGUAAGUUAAUCAUUGGGAUUGACUCUAACUUCGGUUAGAAUAGGUUCCGAUGCAAGCUCCAGCGAACGACAGCUCUAACCCUGAGAGUUCUAAGGUAGCGUAGCCCCUUGCCGGGUAAGUUCCGGCCCGCAUGAAAGGUCUAACGAGUUGAUAACUGUCUUGAACCACUGCUCGACGAAAUUGAAAUGGCUGUGAAGAUGCGGCCUACUUACACCUGGACAAAAAGACCCCGGAAGCUUUACUGAAACUAGGUAUUGGUAAAAGGGAGUUAACUGUUGAGCGUAGGAGGGAGCCCCCGGGCGCCAAUGAAACACCUCUCUUUGAUUCUUUUUUGCCUUAUCCGUCGUCUUAGACGGAAACAGUGCUUGGCGGUCAGUUUAACUGGGGCGGUUUUCUCCAAAAGAGUAACGGAGAAGCGCAAAGGUCAGCUUAUUCCGGAUGGAAAUCGGAAUAUAAGUGCAAACGCAUAAGCUGGCUUAACUGUGAGAGCUACAAUUCAAGCAGAUGCGAAAGCAGGCGUUAGUGAUCCCCCGUCACGCGGUGAUCGCGGGCGGGGCUUAACGGAUAAAAGCUACUCCGGGGAUAACAGGCUGGUCGCGCCCGAGAGUUCAUAUCGACGGCGCGGUUCGGCACCUCGAUGUCGGCUCAUCGCAUCCUGGGGCUGAAGUCGGUCCCAAGGGUCGGGCUGUUCGCCCGUUAAAGCGGUACGCGAGCUGGGUUCAGAACGUCGUGAGACAGUUCGGACUCUAUCCGGUGUAAGCGUUUGGAUUUUUGAGAGGGGUCUUCCACAGUACGAGAGGACCUGGAAGAGAAAAUCCCUGGUGUACCGGUUGUCAAAAGCAUUGCCGGGUAGCUAUAUUUUCAUUCGAUAAGCACUGAAUGCAUCUCAAGUGCGAAGCGAACCUCGAGAUUAAAAAUCCUUAUUAACUUGUCGGUAGAUCACCGACCAUAUAGGCGUCAAGUGUAAGC
RNAcentral lists this ribosomal RNA (2816 nucleotides) under Candidatus Roizmanbacteria bacterium. RNAcentral describes it as "23S ribosomal RNA". It matches the Rfam family "Bacterial large subunit ribosomal RNA". The record is from RNAcentral. Lineage: Bacteria; Candidatus Roizmaniibacteriota.